This 796-nucleotide ribosomal RNA is filed under the name uncultured archaeon. Its description in RNAcentral is "bacterial SSU rRNA". It matches the Rfam family "Archaeal small subunit ribosomal RNA", at positions 85 to 879 of the family's 1478-position model. The record is from RNAcentral.
ACUGCUCAGUAACACGUGGAUAACCUGCCCUUGGGUCCGGCAUAACCCCGGGAAACUGGGGAUAAUUCCGGAUAACGUACAUAUGCUGGAAUGCUUUAUGCGUAAAAUGGAUUCGUCUGCCCAAGGAUGGGUCUGCGGCCUAUCAGGUAGUAGUGGGUGUAAUGUACCUACUAGCCAACAACGGGUACGGGUUGUGAGAGCAAGAGCCCGGAGAUGGAUUCUGAGACAUGAAUCCAGGCCCUACGGGGCGCAGCAGGCGCGAAAACUUUACAAUGCGGGAAACCGUGAUAAGGGGACACCGAGUGCCAGCAUCAUAUGCUGGCUGUCCAGGUGUGUAAAAUACACCUGUUAGCAAGGGCCGGGCAAGACCGGUGCCAGCCGCCGCGGUAACACCGGCGGCCCGAGUGGUGAUCGUGAUUAUUGGGUCUAAAGGGUCCGUAGCCGGUUUGGUCAGUCCUCCGGGAAAUCUGAUAGCUCAACUAUUAGGCUUUCGGGGGAUACUGCCAGGCUUGGAACCGGGAGAGGUAAGAGGUACUACAGGGGUAGGAGUGAAAUCUUGUAAUCCCUGUGGGACCACCUGUGGCGAAGGCGUCUUACCAGAACGGGUUCGACGGUGAGGGACGAAAGCUGGGGGCACGAACCGGAUUAGAUACCCGGGUAGUCCCAGCCGUAAACGAUGCUCGCUAGGUGUCAGGCAUGGCGCGACCGUGUCUGGUGCCGCAGGGAAGCCGUGAAGCGAGCCACCUGGGAAGUACGGCCGCAAGGCUGAAACUUAAAGGAAUUGGCGGGGGAGCAC